This 443-nucleotide ribosomal RNA is filed under the name uncultured bacterium. RNAcentral's name for it is "partial 16S ribosomal RNA". It matches the Rfam family "Bacterial small subunit ribosomal RNA", at positions 338 to 795 of the family's 1533-position model. The record is from RNAcentral.
CCUACGGGAGGCAGCAGUGGGGAAUAUUGGGCAAUGGAGGAAACUCUGACCCAGCAACGCCGCGUGAAUGAUGAAGGUCUUCGGAUUGUAAAGUUCUUUUCUAAGGGAAGAAGAAAGUGACGGUAUCUUAGGAAUAAGCCGCGGCUAACUACGUGCCAGCAGCCGCGGUAAUACGUAGGAGGCGAGCUUUAUCCGGAAUGACUGGGCGUAAAGGGUGCGGAGGUGGUUGGGCAAGUUAGUAGCGUACCCCCAAGGCUCAACCUUGGAACUGCUACUAAAACUGUUGGACUGGAGUGCAGGAGAGGCAACCGGAAUGCCUAGUGUAGCGGUGGAAUGCGUAGAUAUUAGGAGGAACACCAGUGGCGAAGGCGGGUUGCUAGACUGUAACUGACGCUGAGGCACGAAAGCGUGGGGAGCAAACAGGAUUAGAUACCCGGGUAGUC